GAUGAACGCUAGCUACAGGCUUAACACAUGCAAGUCGCGGGGCAGCAUGGGGGUUGCUUGCAAUCCCCGAUGGCGACCGGCGCACGGGUGAGUAACGCGUAUUCAACCUGCCCUUCACCACGGGAUAACCCGGCGAAAGUCGGACUAAUACCGUAUGUUGUCCAUUGACGGCAUCCGAUUUGGACGAAAGGCUUGGCGGUGAGGGAUGGGGAUGCGUCCGAUUAGCCAGACGGCGGGGUAACGGCCCACCGUGGCUACGAUCGGUAUGGGUUCUGAGAGGAAGGUCCCCCACACUGGAACUGAGACACGGUCCAGACUCCUACGGGAGGCAGCAGUGAGGAAUAUUAGUCAAUGGGCGUAAGCCUGAACCAGCCAAGUAGCGUGCAGGAUGACGGCCCUAUGGGUUGUAAACUGCUUUUAUGCGGGGAUAAAGUGGCCCACGUGUGGGCUUUUGCAGGUACCGCAUGAAUAAGGACCGGCUAAUUCCGUG
RNAcentral lists this ribosomal RNA (490 nucleotides) under uncultured bacterium. RNAcentral's name for it is "partial 16S ribosomal RNA". It matches the Rfam family "Bacterial small subunit ribosomal RNA", at positions 28 to 507 of the family's 1533-position model. The record is from RNAcentral.